Molecule: non-coding RNA, 113 nt
Organism: Acanthosepion pharaonis
Lineage: Eukaryota; Metazoa; Mollusca; Cephalopoda; Sepiida; Sepiidae
Source: the annotation of a GenBank genome assembly
UUACGGCCAUAGAAUGUUGAAACACCGGUUCCCGAAGGAUCAUUGAAGUUAAGCAACGUAGACACUGGACAGUACCUAGGUGGGUGACCGCUUGGGAAUCGCAGGUGAUGUAA